Molecule: ribosomal RNA, 530 nt
Filed under: uncultured Lactobacillales bacterium
Lineage: Bacteria; Bacillati; Bacillota; Bacilli; Lactobacillales
Description: bacterial SSU rRNA
Rfam family: Bacterial small subunit ribosomal RNA
Source: RNAcentral
CGCCGCGUGAGUGAAGAAGGUUUUCGGAUCGUAAAACUCUGUUGUUAAAGAAGAACAAGGAUGAGAGUAACUGCUCAUCCCCUGACGGUAUUUAACCAGAAAGCCACGGCUAACUACGUGCCAGCAGCCGCGGUAAUACGUAGGUGGCAAGCGUUGUCCGGAUUUAUUGGGCGUAAAGCGAGCGCAGGCGGUUCUUUAAGUCUGAUGUGAAAGCCCCCGGCUCAACCGGGGAGGGUCAUUGGAAACUGGAGAACUUGAGUGCAGAAGAGGAGAGUGGAAUUCCACGUGUAGCGGUGAAAUGCGUAGAUAUGUGGAGGAACACCAGUGGCGAAGGCGACUCUCUGGUCUGUAACUGACGCUGAGGCUCGAAAGCGUGGGGAGCAAACAGGAUUAGAUACCCUGGUAGUCCACGCCGUAAACGAUGAGUGCUAAGUGUUGGAGGGUUUCCGCCCUUCAGUGCUGCAGCUAACGCAUUAAGCACUCCGCCUGGGGAGUACGGCCGCAAGGCUGAAACUCAAAGGAAUUGACGG